CCUUAUCAAGAGUGGCGGAGGGAAUAGGCCCUGCGAUGCCCGGCAACCUAUGUGCUGAUAGGCACGGAAAGGUGCUACAUCCUACAGAUAACAGUCUGAAAGAUGAGG
RNAcentral lists this non-coding RNA (108 nucleotides) under [Eubacterium] sulci. Its description in RNAcentral is "SAM riboswitch (S box leader)". It matches the Rfam family "SAM riboswitch aptamer (S box leader)". Rfam says of the family: The SAM riboswitch is found upstream of a number of genes which code for proteins involved in methionine or cysteine biosynthesis in Gram-positive bacteria. The SAM riboswitch acts at the level of transcription termination control. The predicted structure consists of a complex stem-loop region followed by a single stem loop terminator region. The record is from RNAcentral. Lineage: Bacteria; Bacillati; Bacillota; Clostridia; Peptostreptococcales; Anaerovoracaceae.